UGGCGGACGGGUGAGUAAUGCUUGGGAAUCUAGCUUAUGGAGGGGGAUAACUACGGGAAACUGUAGCUAAUACCGCGUAGUAUCGGAAGAUGAAAGUGUGGGACCUUCGGGCCACAUGCCAUAGGAUGAGCCCAAGUGGGAUUAGGUAGUUGGUGAGGUAAAGGCUCACCAAGCCGACGAUCGGUAGCCGGACUGAGAGGUUGAACGGCCACAUUGGGACUGAGACACGGCCCAG
RNAcentral lists this ribosomal RNA (235 nucleotides) under uncultured bacterium. Its description in RNAcentral is "partial 16S ribosomal RNA". It matches the Rfam family "Bacterial small subunit ribosomal RNA", at positions 96 to 334 of the family's 1533-position model. The record is from RNAcentral.